RNAcentral lists this transfer-messenger RNA (370 nucleotides) under Planctomycetota. Its description in RNAcentral is "BOG-1363 sp013816485 Standard tmRNA". It matches the Rfam family "transfer-messenger RNA". Rfam says of the family: Bacterial tmRNA, also known as 10Sa RNA or SsrA, is named for its dual tRNA and mRNA-like properties. Its role is to liberate the mRNA from a stalled ribosome. Lineage: Bacteria; Pseudomonadati. RNAcentral also lists the same sequence under 1 other name. The record is from RNAcentral.
GGGGGCGAACAGGCAUCGACGGUUUUGCACCGGCGAUUGCCGCGUGUCGUGGUGCGGGAGGCCACGUAAAUAACCCGCAAAAAACUAAGUGCCGACGAUCACGUCGAGUACGCUCUCGCUGCCUAAUUUAGCAAUAAAUUAGAUAGUGAGACGAGACCAUCCCAUUGCCGAUGCUGGCGAUGGUCUCCCUAAUAAUCAUCGGCUGGCUGAGGGAGUUGUCCGGUUACCCUUGGCGAGAGAUAUCGGGCUGGUCUAUGACUCGGGCUGGCAGUGGCCUUGGUCGUAGAUGAGAACUAAUUUACUGCCUACACACGUAGACGCGUCGUACGAAUAAAGCCGGACCCGGGUUCGAUUCCCGGCGCCUCCACCA